RNAcentral lists this long non-coding RNA (486 nucleotides) under Gossypium raimondii (Peruvian cotton). RNAcentral describes it as "long non-coding RNA (GRAI_LNC003992)". The record is from RNAcentral. Lineage: Eukaryota; Viridiplantae; Streptophyta; Magnoliopsida; Malvales; Malvaceae.
ACGCGUACUCGGAGGCAUCACGAGGUAAGGUUCCUUCUUUUCUCUUUAUCCUUCACUCGAUUAACAGAAAAUAAAAAAAAUCUGGAGAAAGAAAGAAAAAACCGAAGAAAAAAAGAUUGAAUCACCUUUCGAAUAAACUCUUUGCCUUUUUUUGUAUUGAUAUUGUGUUUGAUACAGUAUGCGUGGGUUCUCCUCCCCCUUUUCAAAUACAGAAAAAUGGCUUUUAUAUAGCCGAAUCCAAAAGAAAAAAUAAAUAAAAAAUACAUCUCUUUUUUCCUGCCCUCCUCCCUUUUUUUUAGGGUUUUUGAAAGGCUAUUUUAUAGCCGAACAAAGAAAAAGAAAAGAAAAAUAAAAAUGAAAUCCCUCUCUAUUUUUUUCUUCCUAUUUCUACUAGUAUUUGUUGUCGAUGUUGUUGCCUUUUCUCUUUGCUGUUGCUGUCUGUUUUGUUGCUCGUUUGUUUGUCCUUUGCAGGUACUAUAACACCCC